This 416-nucleotide ribosomal RNA is filed under the name uncultured archaeon. RNAcentral describes it as "bacterial SSU rRNA". It matches the Rfam family "Archaeal small subunit ribosomal RNA", at positions 62 to 478 of the family's 1478-position model. The record is from RNAcentral.
GGGCUCCUUCGGGAGCACCGGCGGACUGCUCAGUAACACGUGGACAACCUACCCUCGGGUGGGGGAUAACCUCGGGAAACUGAGGCUAAUACCCCAUAGGCCUCGGAUACUGGAAGGUUCCGAGACUGAAAGCUCCGGCGCCCGAGGAUGGGUCUGCGGCCUAUCAGGUAGUUGGUGGUGUAAAGGACCACCAAGCCUACGACGGGUACGGGCCCUGAGAGGGGGAGCCCGGAGAUGGACUCUGAGACACGAGUCCAGGCCCUACGGGGCGCAGCAGGCGCGAAACCUUCGCAAUGCGCGAAAGCGCGACGAGGGGAGCCCGAGUGCCCUUCCUUUCGGGAGGGCUUUUCUGGAGCCUAAAAAGCUCCAGGAAUAAGGGCUGGGCAAGACGGGUGCCAGCCGCCGCGGUAAUACCC